This is a long non-coding RNA of Scophthalmus maximus (turbot), 832 nucleotides long. RefSeq lists it as uncharacterized. The record is from RefSeq and is a predicted model, not a curated record. The transcript is spliced from 3 exons. Lineage: Eukaryota; Metazoa; Chordata; Actinopteri; Pleuronectiformes; Scophthalmidae.
CACACUGUAAUGAAUGGGAGAGGAUGAGAGAAUGAGCAGCUGCGGGUGAUUUAAAUUUAGUGACACAGGCUUUGACGCUGAGAAAAACAGGGAGACAGAGAGAAGGCGCCAACAGGCUGACGUAAAUGGCCCGGGGAGACGACCCAGAAGGGAGACCAAGCAGCACCUUCAGCAGAGGAGUGCAUUCGCCUUAGAGGCUACGGUCACCAGUCGCAGGAAUCGCAUAUAUCCUUUGGUCCCAUGUUGAGAGAGGUGAAGAACCUACCAAGAGAAGAAAGACUUAUCAUGGUUUUGGUCGUCGUCAGCCUGGUGGCUGGCUCCACUCUUGUCGCGGUGACGCUACUGCUGGUGUGGCUGGCCUACCGUCGCCGGGCGAGCUGGUCCGCUCCCCUCAGCAGCUCCGCCACGAGCCUGCUGUGGCUGUCUGAGGUGACUUGAUCCUACCGUGACCAAGGAGGAGCCACGGCCAAUUAGAAGUGAUCACGUUCUCACCAAAAUAACGGCAGACAAUUACAUUAGUCAACAGACAUUGGAACAGUCAAUCAUAUUAGCCGUAGAGCAGAGGCGGCCACUCGCAUCAGCCACUAUAGGCCAGACUUGAAGUGGAGAAGCAAUCCAAUUCACACCUCCUCUCACAGGUGACACAGCUGUUGCAGUCAAAUUUCACACUUAACCAAGAGCAACCCAUUAUCAUUCACUGAAAAUAAACACCUUCCCCCGAAUAGAAAAGCUGCUCUGAGCCCUUUAUUUUCACUCAGUGGCAACAAAUCAAUUCUCUAUGUAUGAGAUUUGCUGCUUGAUACAGGUUUAUAUUUAAAAUAUAUGCAUUCCU